UAUAGUGAUGGUUGAAAAUAAAAUAGUAUAGAGUCAUGAAAUCAAAACAAGUAUGAGAACGAGAGAAGCUUGAGAAAUUCUUAAUACUUGAUUAAGAAGUUGAGUUAAAGGUUUAGAAAAAUUAGAGGAAACAUGUGAAAGACGGAAAGCCGAAUUGGAGAUAUUAUAUCACGGUUUAAGAACCUAUGAAACUAAAAGAAUAUAAACAGAAACAAUAUCAAUCAAAGAGCUCAUUUUGUUCGAUUGUUCUGGAAACAAAGAUAAUCCAAGUUCUCUGAUUCGCCAAGUAUUUUCUUGUCUCAUCUGUAGUCCUUGUUGAAAUGCAUUUAUUUCAAUUACCGAUGGUUUAACAGAAACAAACAGAAUCGAGAAAAAACAUAUAUCAAAAGGAAGAAAAAUCCAACUUGUAGAAUAUCUUGGUAUUGAGAUAGAAAAAAAAAUAUAUGGGAACAACUGAUUCUGGGCGAUGACAAGCGCUACAGAAGUUAGAGGAAGCUUCCUAUAGAGGCAGCUUGCACGCAACUCGAUUAUUGCAACAAGUACCUGUUAGCAUACGUGCCGCACAUGUACCAGAGGAUAAAUUCAAGAAGUUUGUUUGGUGUUUGAUAAAAAGUCACAGAGAGAUAUCAAGAUAUAAACAAUGAUUAUACCUUGGUCCUUCCGCAGUUUUCAUCGUCGCUCUCAUCACUGCUGCUGCUGCUGUUGUCACUGCCGUCGCU
Long non-coding RNA from Nicotiana tabacum (common tobacco), 719 nucleotides. RefSeq lists it as uncharacterized. Lineage: Eukaryota; Viridiplantae; Streptophyta; Magnoliopsida; Solanales; Solanaceae. The record is from RefSeq and is a predicted model, not a curated record.